Long non-coding RNA from Sapajus apella (tufted capuchin), 3317 nucleotides. RefSeq lists it as uncharacterized. The record is from RefSeq and is a predicted model, not a curated record. The transcript has 2 exons. Lineage: Eukaryota; Metazoa; Chordata; Mammalia; Primates; Cebidae.
CUUUCCGCUCUGUCUUCUGUACAUGCACCUGCUCAGGUGAGACCUCAAGGAAAAAUAAUCCCGUGGGUCCAUCUUAUCUGGUUGUUUCCAACCACAUUGUCUACAAUUAUGGCAAUCAAUAGGCAUCAAAGAGUUGAAUAAAAAGAAUCUUUCUUUAUAUCAUCAUCAUCAUCAAUCACUGUCAUCACCAUAUCAUAAUGGGUAUCAUAUCUUAAAAAUAGAAAGACUUUCAUAUUCUUCAGGAAGUAAUUUGAAUGUAGAUCAUAGCUUUUUAUUUUAUUUAAAAAUGUUUAGCAUGAACUAAUAUGAAAAUUAUAUUUUAUUCAACCACCAGAGGGAGCUCCCAAAUAUAUGGAUUCUAAAAGGGAAGGAGUAGUAAUUAAGUAGGCAGCUUUCUAUGUUUUUUAGUUGAAAAUCAGAGAUUUAAUCAGCUGUGUGUCACGGUUUUGUGGGAUCAUGUGUUGGGUUUUAGUACAUCAAGUGCUUAAAAUCUUGUCCUACUAUAGAUCAUCUUAAUUGUUAUUGAAUAAUAAUCUUGUUUUUAUAUUUUUUUAAAAGUUUGAGUAAUUGUGUUAUUUUAACUUUAUAUUCUAAUUUUGGACAAUAUUGAUUAAUGCCAUGCUUUGCAAAUAUAAUUAUACUUCCUGACUUCCUCUCUUAGGUAUUCAUUUUUCUUAAGUUGUGUUUUUAUACUGUCAAAUUUAUGAUACAUUCUUUUUUGUAACCAUAAAUUCAAUGCUGACACAUCUCGUUUUUGUAUUUAUUUGCUUUGAUGUAUUGCUUGACUUGUUAAAUUUUAUUUUUAAAUAGUUUAUUUGAGAAGAGUCUUUGGGAUCUAGAAUCCUUGAUAUCUUUCAUGUUUGGGAAGGACUGCUUGCUGCUUUACACAUGUAUGACAUAUAGAGUGGGCAUAACAUUGUGAGGUCAUAUUUUCUUUCUCUCAUCUAUGAUUUAAUAUUCUCCCUAGGAGAAUGAAGUCUUCCAAUUUUUUUUUCACUAAUAUUAUGUGGGCAUGGAAUGGGAGGAAAGGAAAUUAUCCAGUUGUUUCCUGGAGGCAGAGCAAGUCCCUGCAGAGCUGGCUGCCCUCAGUGAUGAUGAGUUUUAUAUCUCCCAAAACAUCCCAAUUCUUAAAUGUCUAGCAUCUUGUAAGUAACCUUCCCAGUCAUGUUUCAUCAUAGCUUGCUGAGUUCUGUCUCUCCUCUUUUAUAUGGAUUUAUUGAGAUACAAUUGAUUAAAAAAACUGUGCAAUUUGAUAUAAUUGAUAAAUUAGAAACUAUGUAAUUUGAUGUGUUUGGACGUAUGUAUACAUUGGCAAUGCUAUCACCACAAUCAAGAUAAUAAACAUAUCUAUCAUCUCCAAAUGUUUUCCUCUGUCCCCUUGACCCAGCACUUUUUUUGUGGUAAAAGCACUUAGCAUGGCAAUCUGGGGAGAAGCAGUCCCUGGAACCAUUAUCUUUAUCUGUUGUCUCUGUACCCUACUUUAAAAUGUCUGAAAGUUUUCUUACACAGUAUGUGGAAAUUAUCAGUCACAAAGGUUAAACAAAUUGCCCAAGGCCAAGGAGUAGAUGAGUGAGAGACUUGGGAGUGGAUCCAGAACUUUUAACUGUUCAGUUGAUAUAUUGCCUUCCAUUGCUUCAAAAAGCUGCGAGCUGCCCUGCUUCUUCCCAACACACUUGACUCAAGUCAGGUAUUUAAAUUCCCAUUUCUAAGCUGAAGUCAAUGGUAUUUCCAUAACUAGGAUGUUUGUUGCCACAACAGAAAAAAUGACUUAUAAGCAAUGAAUAGAGGUGAAAUAUAUUCAUUAAGAGUCAGUGCUGAUACAUUCCAUCUUUCUUCACUUCCUUUAACUUCUUAUUUUCUCCAGGCUGCUUACAAAUGUAUUCAAUGUGUUAACAAAAAAUUUAAUAAAGACAGUGCCAGAAUAUCAGCAUUUGGAAAAAAGAAAAAUACUUUCUAUUUGGUGUUAGCAUAACUGUCCAUUUUAAUUAGGUGUAUAUCUCUCUGUGGAUAAUUAAAAUGCUAUCUGUAAAUAAAGUAAAAUAUUAAAUAUAUGAUGUCACCAUUUUGAUUUAUGUUUUUCCACAAAGCACAACCACUGUCUAACAAAUGUGGAUUUGACAGAUUGAUAAUUAUGGUCUCUGCCAGGUCAAAUGAGCUCAUUUCCCUUAAAACCUUAAAAGCUUGAGCAAUAAUAUGGUCUCCCAGACACAAAGAGGAAACAGCAAGCCUCUUGACUCCAUCGUGAUUGUUUCCUGGGCAAGCGUGUUUCCCAGCUGCAAUCACAGAUGCCCAAAAUCUAUGCCAGUGUCAGGCCCUGCCAUGCUGUAGCUCCCUUCAGGGGGCAUCUCAACCGCUAUUUUCCCCUCCUCUAGUCCUCUACUGAACCUGCCACACCUUCUAAGAAAACCAGAGGGCAGGUUCUGUGCUACUGCAUGGACCCUCCACACACUGUAACCUGCAGGAAUGUAGACAUUUGACUGCUGCCUCCUCAGUUUACCACAGGGGGCAGACACUGACUGAAAAAGAGGUCCAAGAAAUAAAUUCCCACGGAACAGCAGGGAGAUGCAAAAUGUAAAUAAAUAAAAUAAAUCUUAAAACAUGUACUCUGGUGCCGCCUUUAAUAGUACAUAUCAUGAGAUAGGGUUUAUUUCACUUAUUUACAAAUAAACAACUCUUCAUUAUUGCUGAAGAUGUAGGAACUUAAGGUUUAAAGUUAGGGUGACUUAAAAUUUCUCUGCAGAGAAUGACUUCUGCGUAGUGUUUACUUUUUUACAUUUUGAGUUUCAAAUUUAAUGCUUCUAUGAAUAUGUUUCACUCAAAUGUUCCAGCGUUGUUAUAAUACCCUAAAUGAAUAAUGCAUUUCUUAGAAAAGAUCUUUUCCGAAGGAGAAAGCACUAUGAACAUUCACUUUAUCUUCCUUUACCAGUCAAUGAUUUUUAUCCUUUACUACACUUUUAAAAUACCUAACAAAGGUGGAUAAAACAUUUUUAUUCUUAAUCAGUGGAGCUACAUGCAAAAUUCAAAACUCAAAUCUGUGGGAAGCAUUAUGAAGAAAUAUUACUACUCUUUGUCAGUCUGCACAGACUUGUCUACACUAUCCUAACAUUGUUUUUAGCAUGGUAGAGACAAGGAUAAACCAUGAAGCCUACCUGUUGGGAUCUGAAAUAUUGCUUCACCACUUCCUAUCUUGAGCAUAUUAGUUAAUUUUUCUGUACCUCAGUUUUCUCAUGUCUACAAUGGAGGUAAUAAUAUUACUUGUGUUGUUAUGAAGACCAAAUGAGUUACUAUUUAUAAAUUAUGCCUACUAAUUAAAAAAA